This 135-nucleotide ribosomal RNA is filed under the name uncultured bacterium. RNAcentral's name for it is "partial 16S ribosomal RNA". It matches the Rfam family "Bacterial small subunit ribosomal RNA", at positions 397 to 524 of the family's 1533-position model. The record is from RNAcentral.
CCGCGUGAGUGAAGAAGGGUUUCGGCUCGUAAAGCUCUGUUGUUGGUGAAGAAGGACAGGGGUAGUAACUGACCUUUGUUUGACGGUAAUCAAUUAGAAAGUCACGGCUAACUACGUGCCAGCAGCCGCGGUAAU